RNAcentral lists this ribosomal RNA (425 nucleotides) under uncultured bacterium. RNAcentral describes it as "partial 16S ribosomal RNA". It matches the Rfam family "Bacterial small subunit ribosomal RNA", at positions 354 to 796 of the family's 1533-position model. The record is from RNAcentral.
GUAGGGAAUAUUGGACAAUGGGCGAAAGCCUGAUCCAGCAAUGCCGCGUGAGUGAUGAAGGCCUUAGGGUUGUAAAGCUCUUUUACCAGGGAUGAUAAUGACAGUACCUGGAGAAUAAGCUCCGGCUAACUCCGUGCCAGCAGCCGCGGUAAUACGGAGGGAGCUAGCGUUGUUCGGAAUUACUGGGCGUAAAGCGCGCGUAGGCGGCGAUUUAAGUCAGAGGUGAAAGCCCGGGGCUCAACCCCGGAAUAGCCUUUGAGACUGGAUUGCUAGAAUCCUGGAGAGGUGAGUGGAAUUCCGAGUGUAGAGGUGAAAUUCGUAGAUAUUCGGAAGAACACCAGUGGCGAAGGCGGCUCACUGGACAGGUACUGACGCUGAGGUGCGAAAGCGUGGGGAGCAAACAGGAUUAGAUACCCGUGUAGUCC